Non-coding RNA from Paramuricea clavata, 596 nucleotides. The record is from the annotation of a GenBank genome assembly. NCBI's taxonomy places the organism in Eukaryota, Metazoa, Cnidaria, Anthozoa, Malacalcyonacea, Plexauridae.
CCCCGGUUCAACUUAUCUGAAUUUUUAAAUUAAGUUUUACCCAAGAGGCCAGUCAUUAUUAAUGACAGGGGGGGGGGGCACAGAAGAGCAAUGUGUUUCUUGGUAAAAAUGUUGCUGAUUCAAGCAUGAUUCAAAAUUUUGCUGAUUCAACCACGCACCCGAUCAAAACAUUUACAAAAGGAUACCAUUCAGUUGUCACACAUGUCCUUUAUCACCUAAUUGUGACAUGACAUUGAUAACUGCUUGUGCAAUUUUCUGCAGUAUAAAAUUUCAUGUUGUGUGCACAUCAGUGUACUUUCUUUGGAGACAUCAUUUGCAUGGCUCCUGACAAAUCGGAAAAUAACCUUUUUAACCUCAUGCUUGCUCGUCAAUGCUUUUAUAAUUUACCUAAAAAUCAGCUCAAGACACCUCUAAAUUUACCUGACAUAUUUGGGGUUUACACCCCCCGCCCACACGCAUAGCUACGGCCCCGUGUAUACUAACUUGCAUUGGUUAUCAAUGGUACACUAUCAACCUGGUCCCCAGGGCCUUCGUGCGGAGAAGGCCCGUGCUGAGAAGGCCCUGGCAUCGGCUAGAAUUUUACACCCCAAAUUUUG